GUUUCCGUAGGUGAACCUGCGGAAGGAUCAUUGAUGUUCCUUAGACAUGACCGCGAACACUCGUAAAAAAUGUGAAGGCGCCGGGGUAUGGUUGUCGGUUGUUUCGGCGCAUCCGUGUUGGUUGUGUCAAUCAUCCGCCAAUUCACUUAUCCUCGACCUUCCAACACCGACGGUUACUCCCUUGUGAUGAGGGAUGUGUCUAACCGGAAUGGUGGCUGAACAACCAAGAGACGCAGAUUUGCGUCAAGGAACCUGAAAAACGACAACGCCUGGCAUGAAUCGGUGUUUUCGAAUUUAAUCUGGCGCGGUUGGCGCUGGUAAUGAACGACUCACGGCAACGGAUAUCUCGGCUCUCGCAUCGAUGAAGAACGUAGCGAAGUGCGAUACUUGGUGUGAAUUGCAGAAUCCCGCGAACCAUCGAGUUUUUGAACGCAAGUUGCGCCCAAAGCUUUCCGCCAAGGGCAUGCCUGCCUGGGCGUCACGCAUCAUGUCUCUCUCCAUCAAACAUACAUCGCUCGAAGUUUGAUGGUUGAGGAAAUGGCCUCCCGUUUUCUUCGUAGAUCGGCCGGUCGAAAAUGGAUUUUCCCUUGUCAUUGGGUUCCAGGAACAUUGGUGGUUGCGUUGUUCGACAAAUCGACCUUGUUUUUCCUGAGCCGGGCAUGGGUAUUUCUAAUAUGGUUCCCCUAUUGGCGCAUGUUGUAUGCCUCAGGAAGCGACCCCAGGUCAGGCGGGAUCACCCGCUGAGUUUAAGCAUAUCAA
Molecule: ribosomal RNA, 759 nt
Filed under: Utricularia reniformis
Lineage: Eukaryota; Viridiplantae; Streptophyta; Magnoliopsida; Lamiales; Lentibulariaceae
Description: eukaryotic LSU rRNA
Rfam family: 5.8S ribosomal RNA (bases 327-481)
Source: RNAcentral